UACGUAAGGUGCAAGCGUUGUCCGGAAUUAUUGGGCGUAAAGAGCUCGUAGGCGGUCUGUCGCGUCGGCUGUGAAAACCCGAGGCUCAACCUCGGGCCUGCAGUCGAUACGGGCAAACUAGAGUACUGCAGGGGAGACUGGAAUUCCUGGUGUAGCGGUGAAAUGCGCAGAUAUCAGGAGGAACACCGGUGGCGAAGGCGGGUCUCUGGGCAGUAACUGACGCUGAGGAGCGAAAGCGUGGGGAGCGAACAGG
This 253-nucleotide ribosomal RNA is filed under the name uncultured bacterium. RNAcentral describes it as "partial 16S ribosomal RNA". It matches the Rfam family "Bacterial small subunit ribosomal RNA", at positions 524 to 776 of the family's 1533-position model. The record is from RNAcentral.